Long non-coding RNA from Anser brachyrhynchus (Pink-footed goose), 291 nucleotides. NCBI's taxonomy places the organism in Eukaryota, Metazoa, Chordata, Aves, Anseriformes, Anatidae. The record is from Ensembl.
AUGGAGACAGUGAAGAAAGAAGAGCAGUUGUUGCAGGAGCCUUCUGAUAAUAAUAAUAAGAGACAGGUUGCUGAUGAGGAUUUCUUCACCUUCCUGUGCCACAUAGGGUGCAUCCACACUCUGACUACACUCACUUCCAGUCCACAGGUGGCUGUCAAGACUGAGCUGUGUAUAUUACAGGGAGUAUCAAAGAAGACAUCAAUCAAACGAGAUCAUUUUACUUUGACCAUUAAGCAAUUGUUGUUGUGUAAGUUGGUAGGCAUACCAGUGUCCCUCCCUCUUGCAAACUAG